RNAcentral lists this ribosomal RNA (647 nucleotides) under Escherichia coli. Its description in RNAcentral is "partial 23S ribosomal RNA". It matches the Rfam family "Bacterial large subunit ribosomal RNA", at positions 604 to 1252 of the family's 2925-position model. Lineage: Bacteria; Pseudomonadati; Pseudomonadota; Gammaproteobacteria; Enterobacterales; Enterobacteriaceae. The record is from RNAcentral.
CCUUUUGUAUAAUGGGUCAGCGACUUAUAUUCUGUAGCAAGGUUAACCGAAUAGGGGAGCCGAAGGGAAACCGAGUCUUAACUGGGCGUUAAGUUGCAGGGUAUAGACCCGAAACCCGGUGAUCUAGCCAUGGGCAGGUUGAAGGUUGGGUAACACUAACUGGAGGACCGAACCGACUAAUGUUGAAAAAUUAGCGGAUGACUUGUGGCUGGGGGUGAAAGGCCAAUCAAACCGGGAGAUAGCUGGUUCUCCCCGAAAGCUAUUUAGGUAGCGCCUCGUGAAUUCAUCUCCGGGGGUAGAGCACUGUUUCGGCAAGGGGGUCAUCCCGACUUACCAACCCGAUGCAAACUGCGAAUACCGGAGAAUGUUAUCACGGGAGACACACGGCGGGUGCUAACGUCCGUCGUGAAGAGGGAAACAACCCAGACCGCCAGCUAAGGUCCCAAAGUCAUGGUUAAGUGGGAAACGAUGUGGGAAGGCCCAGACAGCCAGGAUGUUGGCUUAGAAGCAGCCAUCAUUUAAAGAAAGCGUAAUAGCUCACUGGUCGAGUCGGCCUGCGCGGAAGAUGUAACGGGGCUAAACCAUGCACCGAAGCUGCGGCAGCGACACUAUGCGUUGUUGGGUAGGGGAGCGUUCUGUAAGCCUGU